RNAcentral lists this ribosomal RNA (253 nucleotides) under uncultured bacterium. RNAcentral describes it as "partial 16S ribosomal RNA". It matches the Rfam family "Bacterial small subunit ribosomal RNA", at positions 524 to 776 of the family's 1533-position model. The record is from RNAcentral.
UACAGAGGGUGCAAGCGUUAAUCGGAAUUACUGGGCGUAAAGCGCACGUAGGCGGCGUCGUACGUCGGGUGUGAAAGCCCCGGGCUCAACCUGGGAAUUGCAGUGGGGACUGCAAUGCUGGAGUACGGAAGAGGAGGGCGGAAUUCCCGGUGUAGCGGUGAAAUGCGCAGAUAUCGGGAGGAACACCAGUGGCGAAGGCGGCCCUCUGGGCCAGUACUGACGCUCAAGUGCGAAAGCGUGGGGAGCGAACAGG